CGGGGGCCCGCACAAGCGGUGGAGCAUGUGGUUUAAUUCGAUGCAACGCGAAGAACCUUACCUGGUCUUGACAUCCACGGAAGUUUUCAGAGAUGAGAAUGUGCCUUCGGGAACCGUGAGACAGGUGCUGCAUGGCUGUCGUCAGCUCGUGUUGUGAAAUGUUGGGUUAAGUCCCGCAACGAGCGCAACCCUUAUCCUUUGUUGCCAGCGGUCCGGCCGGGAACUCAAAGGAGACUGCCAGUGAUAAACUGGAGGAAGGUGGGGAUGACGUCAAGUCAUCAUGGCCCUUACGACCAGGGCUACACACGUGCUACAAUGGCGCAUACAAAGAGAAGCGACCUCGCGAGAGCAAGCGGACCUCAUAAAGUGCGUCGUAGUCCGGAUUGGAGUCUGCAACUCGACUCCAUGAAGUCGGAAUCGCUAGUAAUCGUGGAUCAGAAUGCCACGGUGAAUACGUUCCCGGGCCUUGUACACACCGCCCGUCACACCAUGGGAGUGGGUUGCAAAAGAAGUAGGUAGCUUAACCUUCGGGAGGGCGCUUACCACUUUGUGAUUCAUGACUGGGGUGAAGUCGUAACAAGGUAACCGUAGGGGAACCUGCGGUUGGAUCACCUCCUUA
This 619-nucleotide ribosomal RNA is filed under the name Streptococcus pneumoniae. Its description in RNAcentral is "bacterial SSU rRNA". It matches the Rfam family "Bacterial small subunit ribosomal RNA", at positions 914 to 1533 of the family's 1533-position model. The record is from RNAcentral. Lineage: Bacteria; Bacillati; Bacillota; Bacilli; Lactobacillales; Streptococcaceae.